AAAGUCGUAACAAGGUUUCCGUAGGUGAACCUGCGGAAGGAUCAUUAACAAAUUCCAAAACUCGUGUUGGGCUUUUGACUGAGCCUUGUCUUGUUGAUCUUGUCUUGUCUGCUGCUGCUCAUGUCCCCUUAACCGGAUGAUGUGUGUGUGUGUGUAGAAAAGAUGGGGGAUCGGACGGGGGAAAGGUCAAGGUCCGUUCAUAACACACAAAAUACAACUUUGACAGAGAGAAACAAUGUAAAAAAUAGGGUUCAUACAGCAAUGUGUGAAUCGUUAAACUUAUACAACUUUUAACAAUGGAUCUCUCGGCUCUU
This 314-nucleotide unclassified non-coding RNA is filed under the name Basidiomycota sp. RNAcentral's name for it is "partial contains small subunit ribosomal RNA, internal transcribed spacer 1, and 5.8S ribosomal RNA". The stretch from base 1 to 47 matches the Rfam family "Eukaryotic small subunit ribosomal RNA", at positions 1785 to 1831 of the family's 1831-position model. The record is from RNAcentral. Lineage: Eukaryota; Fungi; Basidiomycota.